GCUUCACUUCACUCGUGGGCUUCCGUAGCGCGCCCCGCGCAUUGCACAGUAAGAGACGACAUGGCUGCCCCCGCGAGUAGAAAACAACUCUGUUCAAAGAAAGGAAAUUGGAAUUCUGUCAUUUGGAACUGGUUCGGAUUUGAUCCAAGCGACGAUCAACAGACCAAGCUGUGCUGCAAAACUUGUUUUAAGACUGUAGCAACUGGAAGUAGCAGCAAGACAAACUUGUUUCAGCACUUAAAAAACAAGCACCCAGAUGAGUGGGAGAAGAGCAAGCGGCUUCGACACGAAGACGGCACCCCGAGCACAGCUCCGCCAAAACAGACAACACUUGUUGAGAGAUUCGCCAACUGUGUACCGUAUGACAAGAGUGGAGCCCGCUUUAAGGCAAUUACAGAGGCCAUCACUUUGUACAUUGCCACAGACAUGCUUCCCAUUUAUUCCGUGGAAAAGCGAGGCUUCAAUCAGUUGCUGAAUGUUUUGGAUGCGAUAUACACCAUACCCAGUCGAAGAUAUUUCGCUGAUGUGGCGCUGCCUCAAUUGUAUAGUAGUACUCGUCAAAAGAUCCACAAAGAGUUGGAAGAGGUGGCUUUAAGCAUUUUUUUGUCUUGCACUUUUUUUGAUGCACAAUGAGGGACGUCUGCAGCGACUGAGAAAGAGUCUCACCACAUCCUGACAUGAGGAAAAACACUUUAUUGAAAACUACAAUGAGAAAAACUAUCAGACAGCAGACGGCUGCAUUCAAGUCUGUAGCUGCUGAAUUCAUGGAUGAAUCAUCUGGCACUAGAGAGGAAGACCAUCAAACAUCCAUGUCAGCUGAUGGAGGUCCAAGAGUCUCACCGAACAAACAACCUACAGAGUGAAGACCUCGAACCUGAUUGGACAGCCUCCUAUUCAGCCACAUGUGUGAACAAAUGCCUCUAAGCUGAUUUGUUUUCUAAAAUAAAUCUAGUUUGAGUCC
Molecule: long non-coding RNA, 961 nt
Organism: Amphiprion ocellaris (clown anemonefish)
Lineage: Eukaryota; Metazoa; Chordata; Actinopteri; Pomacentridae
Source: Ensembl